RNAcentral lists this ribosomal RNA (416 nucleotides) under Bacillus sp. R-32665. Its description in RNAcentral is "bacterial SSU rRNA". It matches the Rfam family "Bacterial small subunit ribosomal RNA", at positions 13 to 431 of the family's 1533-position model. Lineage: Bacteria; Bacillati; Bacillota; Bacilli; Caryophanales; Bacillaceae. The record is from RNAcentral.
UUGAUCCUGGCUCAGGACGAACGCUGGCGGCGUGCCUAAUACAUGCAAGUCGAGCGAACCACUUCGGUGGUUAGCGGCGGACGGGUGAGUAACACGUGGGCAACCUGCCUGUAAGACUGGGAUAACUUCGGGAAACCGGAGCUAAUACCGGAUAAUCCUUUUCCUCUCAUGAGGRAAAGCUGAAAGACGGUUUCGGCUGUCACUUACAGAUGGGCCCGCGGCGCAUUAGCUAGUUGGUGAGGUAACGGCUCACCAAGGCGACGAUGCGUAGCCGACCUGAGAGGGUGAUCGGCCACACUGGGACUGAGACACGGCCCAGACUCCUACGGGAGGCAGCAGUAGGGAAUCUUCCACAAUGGACGAAAGUCUGAUGGAGCAACGCCGCGUGAGCGAUGAAGGCCUUCGGGUCGUAAAGC